Molecule: ribosomal RNA, 440 nt
Filed under: uncultured bacterium
Lineage: Bacteria
Description: SSU rRNA
Rfam family: Bacterial small subunit ribosomal RNA
Source: RNAcentral
AGAGCGAACGCUGGCGGCAGGCCUAAUACAUGCAAGUCGAACGCACCUUCGGGUGAGUGGCGGACGGGUGAGUAACACGUGGGAACGUGCCUUUUGGUUCGGAAUAAUCCGGGGAAACCUGGCCUAAUACCGGAUGUGCCCUUCGGGGGAAAGAUUUAUCGCCAUUAGAGCGGCCCGCGUCUGAUUAGCUUGUUGGUGGGGUAAUGGCCCACCAAGGCUACGAUCAGUAGCUGGUCUGAGAGGAUGAUCAGCCACACUGGGACUGAGACACGGCCCAGACUCCUACGGGAGGCAGCAGUAGGGAAUCUUGCGCAAUGGGCGAAAGCCUGACGCAGCCAUGCCGCGUGAAUGAUGAAGGUCUUAGGAUUGUAAAAUUCUUUCAGCGGGAAGAUAAUGACUGUACCGCAGAAGAAGCUCGGCUAACUCGUGCCAGCAGCCGC